CCGCCGAGCCGGGUACCAGGGGUGGCGCUGGGGACGAGGACGCGUCCCCAGCCGCGGGCCUCGCUCCAGCUGGGCGCUGUUUUGUAAGGACUCCUGGGCCUCUGCGGCGCAGAGAUAAGCCCAAGAAUUCGCCGCCAGUUCCAAAUAUCCCGUCCGCUUCCUCCCGCCGUCCUCGCCGCCGCUCCAGCCCGCUUGUCUCAUUUCCGCAGCAGCGUGCUGGGGAGCGCUUCCUGUUUUCCCCCCGGCCCCGGGGCGGCGGCGGGGGGCUGAGGGGCGCGGGGAGGAAGGGCAGGACAAUGGGCGCAAGGCUUUGCUGUAAAUCAACCCAAGCUCCCUUGAGAGCAUCGUCUCUGUGCCGCAGUGGGAGCCCCUGCUCCAGCUGGGCAUGAGGACAGGAAUGAAGCCGGGUGGAGCACAGCCCUGGGCGGGGGGACCCUGCCCUCUAUGGGGCAAUGAAUCGCCCUGCCACAAGUUGCAUUUUAGGGUCCCCUCCAGUCAAACCACCCACCACAACCCUCUCCUCCCCAGCCACAGUACAAGAGAGCAGCAUCCCCACGGGACUGCCAUCUCCCAGGAGCUGUGUCUCGGAGCAGGGGGUUAGGAAGUGGCUCCCCCAUCCCAAACUGCAGCUGUGAGAAAAGAGGGGUCCACUUCGGGGCUCUGCUCACUCGGAGCCCAGCAAUCUCCUGCCACAGCGUGGCAGGAGUUAUUCAAAGGCGGGCGGAAGCAAGCACAGCAACUGAAACAACAAUGAAAAGGAAACAGAGCUCGAAAAACUCUCCGUUCAUAAAUCAACUGAACUGCAGGUGAUCCCUGGGCAGGAGCGAGCUGAGGAAGAGACACGGCUCGGCUCAGCAUGGCCAGCAGCCAGGCAGGGUUGGGGGAGGCUGGGAUUUCCCAGGGUGGUCCCAAGUGAUGCUGGGGUCGGUGUCCAUGUCUCCGGGGCUGCACAUUAGGGCCUUUGAGGCAGGUGAGGUGCAAGUGUCGCUGGGUUUAUUUUUAUUACAAUUUUUUUUAUGCAUCUAGGUGAGAAAGGUGAAGCUGUGAGGGGUGGAGUGGGUUUGUGGGGUCAGCAUUGCAUGCACACGCACAGGCAUGUGCCUGCUUUCCAGGCCAGAGGAAUGCAACAAGCCCAGGGAUGUGAUGGGGUGCAGGGACCGUACCACAGCCCCUCAUGGCCAGCAGAGUGGGGGGACAUAGUAAUUUUGGUGCUUGAGGGGGUGCAGAGCAGCCCCACUCUCUUUAUUCCUCUCCAUGUUUGCUUUUUGGGUUGAAAUCCAUCACUUUGGAAGCAGAGAAGCCAAAAAGUUGUGGGUGAGCAGUCUGUGGCUGUGCCAUGGGAGAUGUUGGGGUUAAUGGGAGAUGAUCCAGGGUUCUCGGCAGCAUCAGGUCGUGGCUCCUUGCUGGGAUCUCAUAAAGGCUUUUUCCUCCUUAGGAAAUAGAGCUGCUGGAUUGGGACAGGCCUCUCGGUGCUGGCAGCAUCGCUGCACAGGCAGGGGAUGGGCAUGGGUGGAAAAAUCUCCCCCUCCUGCCUCCAGCUGUGUCCUGCAGCAUCUUGCUCCAGGCAAGACAGGGGCCAGUUUGGACAAACCAAGCUGUCCCCUCCUAGCUGUCCCCUCUGCCAGCUCCUGUAAGCUGAGACCCAGUCCUGGGGACACCAAAAGGAACUUGUGCCUUUGGGACCAGUGGAUGGCCCAAAGACCAGGCUGGUGGCAGUGGGCUGACCUUACAGCAGAGGAAAUGAUCCAGUCAUGUUCCCUGCACUGGGAAAGCCAGGAGAGAUUGCAUGUCCCCCUCUGCUGCUAUCCGUCCUCCCUCCUGUGAUUUCCCUGUCAUCUUGUCUUUUGGCAGAGCUGGAAAACUGGGAGACCACCGUAAAUAAAUCCUGUGUCUUUAA
This is a long non-coding RNA of Corvus hawaiiensis (hawaiian crow), 1897 nucleotides long. RefSeq lists it as uncharacterized. The transcript has 3 exons. The record is from RefSeq and is a predicted model, not a curated record. Lineage: Eukaryota; Metazoa; Chordata; Aves; Passeriformes; Corvidae.